UACAGAGGUCCCAAGCGUUGUUCGGAUUCACUGGGCGUAAAGGGCGCGUAGGUGGCCUGAUAAGUAGGGGGUGAAAUCUCGUGGCUCAACUGCGAGGCUGCCUCCUAAACUGUCGGGCUUGAGCAGAGUAGAGGCAGGUGGAAUUCCCGGUGUAGCGGUGGAAUGCGUAGAGAUCGGGAGGAACACCGGUGGCGAAGGCGGCAUCCUGGACCGGUAUUGACGCUGAGGCGCGAAAGCCAGGGGAGCAAACGGG
RNAcentral lists this ribosomal RNA (253 nucleotides) under uncultured bacterium. RNAcentral describes it as "partial 16S ribosomal RNA". It matches the Rfam family "Bacterial small subunit ribosomal RNA", at positions 524 to 776 of the family's 1533-position model. The record is from RNAcentral.